This 106-nucleotide ribosomal RNA is filed under the name Acinetobacter baumannii ABNIH17. Its description in RNAcentral is "partial 16S ribosomal RNA". It matches the Rfam family "Bacterial small subunit ribosomal RNA", at positions 1 to 106 of the family's 1533-position model. Lineage: Bacteria; Pseudomonadati; Pseudomonadota; Gammaproteobacteria; Moraxellales; Moraxellaceae. The record is from RNAcentral. RNAcentral also lists the same sequence under 1 other name.
AACUGAAGAGUUUGAUCAUGGCUCAGAUUGAACGCUGGCGGCAGGCUUAACACAUGCAAGUCGAGCGGGGGAAGGUAGCUUGCUACUGGACCUAGCGGCGGACGGG